CCCCACACCUUCUUCUUUCCCUCUCACAAGACCCCACCAAUUCAGCAGACCUUCGCUAGCUAAGUUUAGCGAUGGUUUCCCGCACCCAAAGUAGUGAAAGAAGGAAAAGAGGUGGGCAGGCGAUUGUGGUAGAGUAGUUUCUGAGCUACGUUUGUUCUGUACUAACUCAAAAGGUGGUUUGUUGGGUUGCUGGGAGAAAAGAAAAACGAGCUAGAGGGGAGAUGUGGGACAUAGAAAUAGAAACCCAUUUGAUUAGGACUUGAAUGAUCUAGCAAAGAUCUCUUCUCCUGCAUAAAUACUGCUCCACCUCCACUCUCUUCCUCCUCUUCUCAACCACAUCCUAUCCUAUCCCAGUUGUGGUCCGGCUUAAUACAGGCCGUCUCCGUUCCCUGUAGAUCUCGGCCGGUGCAAGCAACGAUCACGGAAACUACCGCACUUGCAUUGUUUUUCAUCAUCCAUCGAAGCAAUUGGUUGAACCAUAUAUACAUUAAUGCAUUCAUGUUAUGCCAUGUGAUAGCAUACGUAUUUACGUAUGUGCCUGGCUCCCUGUAUGCCAUUCGUAGAGCCCAUCGGCACAUCGAUGGUCUUCGUGGAUGGCGUGCGAGGAGCCAUGCAUAUUGCAUAUACCGGAUGCAUCCAUAUGCUCUAAACUGCAAUUACUACUCUCUCGCUCUCUCGCUCUCUCUCUCUCUCUCAAGAGUUUUGCCGUCAUAGAAUCAUGUAUGCGACAGAAGAACCGGUAAAGGUUUUAUAACUCUAGUGUUUCGAUGGUUGCAGGUUCGUCACCAAAGCUCCUUGGCCAAUGGAUAGCCAAGCAAAGUAGCGGGAGAUCCGGCAUUGGAUGGGUCCCACUGUAGAGAUCCGCUGAAAGCUAUCCGAUUGGACGGCUCCAACUCCUCCUAUCUAUCAAACAUUCGUUUUGGAUGGUCAGAACUCAGAGAAGAAAGUACAACCAGUGGAUCCCACCCCACCCCACCCCCUGCUUCUGCUUGUUGCUUGUAUCAAAGGACACAUCAAAUGCCAUGCAUUAUGCCAUCCAACUGAUAUAUAUAUAUAUAUAUAUAUGUGAUGGUCCAUCAUCCAUGCUAAGAAGAGUUCUUGGUGUUUGUUUAGCGUAAGGAAUUAAUUAAAACGAUCAAGCUCUGUUGCCUACUGAUCAUGAAGCUUCCAUCUCAAGACUAAUGGUCCCUCUAUAUACUGAUAAUGAAUCUUUCAUUUGUUUUCGAUGUUUCUGCUAGUUAUUAUUAUUAUUUUUGCCUUGAUAGCUUUUAUUCAAUAUAAGUGGCUGAUGGUGUAUUUAUUUAUUCA
This is a long non-coding RNA of Nelumbo nucifera (sacred lotus), 1308 nucleotides long. RefSeq lists it as uncharacterized. NCBI's taxonomy places the organism in Eukaryota, Viridiplantae, Streptophyta, Magnoliopsida, Proteales, Nelumbonaceae. The record is from RefSeq and is a predicted model, not a curated record.